CCUACGGGUGGCUGCAGUGGGGAAUAUUGCACAAUGGGGGAAACCCUGAUGCAGCGACGCCGCGUGAGUGAAGAAGUAUUUCGGUAUGUAAAGCGCUGUCAGCAGGGAAGAAAAUUACGAUACGGGAUUAAGAACCCCCGGCUAAAUCCGUGUCAGCAGCCGCUGUAAUACUAAGGGGGCAAGAGUUAGCCGGAUAUACAGGGUGGAAAGUGAGCGGGGACGGCGGCACGUGACUGGAGUGAAAUGCCUUGGCUUAAACCCGGGACUGCUUUGGAAACUGUGCAGCUAGAGUGGAGGAGAGGUAAGGGGAAUUCCUAGUGUAGCGGUGGAAUGCGUGGAAAUUAGGAGGAAAACCAGUGGCGGAGGCGGGUUACUGGACUGUAACUGACGUUGGGGGUAGAAAGCGUGGGGAGCAAAAAGGAAUUGAUAACCCGGGUAGUC
This 441-nucleotide ribosomal RNA is filed under the name uncultured bacterium. RNAcentral describes it as "partial 16S ribosomal RNA". It matches the Rfam family "Bacterial small subunit ribosomal RNA", at positions 338 to 795 of the family's 1533-position model. The record is from RNAcentral.